Long non-coding RNA from Oncorhynchus tshawytscha (Chinook salmon), 549 nucleotides. Lineage: Eukaryota; Metazoa; Chordata; Actinopteri; Salmoniformes; Salmonidae. The record is from Ensembl.
ACCAGUCUCUAUCAGAGGGACAGUGCUGCUGUCAGCCUGAAUGAAGAGGUUUAUCCUGACAUCAACGUCAUCACAGGUCAGUCCCCUGUCCCCCUACACCAGUCUCUAUCAGAGGGACAGUGCUGCUGUCAGCCUGAAUGAAGAGGUUUAUCCUGACAUCAACGUCAUCACAGGUCAGUCCCCUAUCCCCCUAAACCAGUCUCUAUCAGCAUCAACGUCAUCACAGGUCAGUCCCCUAUCCCCUAAACCAGUCUCUAUCAGCAUCAACGUCAUCACAGGUCAGUCCCCUAUCCCCCUACACCAGUCUCUAUCAGCAUCAACGUCAUCACAGGUCAGUCCCCUAUCCCCCUAAACCAGUCUCUAUCAGCAUCAACGUCAUCACAGGUCAGUCCCCUGUCCCCCUAAACCAGUCUCUAUCAGCAUCAACGUCAUCACAGGUCAGUCCCCUGUCCCCAGUCUCUAUCCUGACAUCAACGUCAUCACAGGUCAGUCCCCUGUCCCCCUACACCAGUCUCUAUCCUGACCUCAACGUCAUCACAGGUCAGUCCC